This 354-nucleotide ribosomal RNA is filed under the name Enochrus sp. 9 MTM-2009. RNAcentral's name for it is "eukaryotic LSU rRNA". It matches the Rfam family "Eukaryotic large subunit ribosomal RNA", at positions 745 to 1093 of the family's 3401-position model. The record is from RNAcentral. Lineage: Eukaryota; Metazoa; Arthropoda; Insecta; Coleoptera; Hydrophilidae.
UCGCCGCCCCGCACUCCCGGGGCGUCUCGUUCUCAUCGCGAGAUGAGGCGCACCCAGAGCGUACACGCUGGGACCCGAAAGAUGGUGAACUAUGCCUGGUCAGGACGAAGUCAGGGGAAACCCUGAUGGAGGUCCGUAGCGAUUCUGACGUGCAAAUCGAUCGUCGGAACUGGGUAUAGGGGCGAAAGACUAAUCGAACCGUCUAGUAGCUGGUUCCCUCCGAAGUUUCCCUCAGGAUAGCUGGCGCUCGCUUUGCGAGUCUCAUCCGGUAAAGCGAAUGAUUAGAGGCAUUGGGGUCGAAACGGCCUCAACCUAUUCUCAAACUUUAAAUGGGUGAGAUCUCCGGCUUGCUCG